CCUACGGGGGGCAGCAGUGAGGAAUAUUGGUCAAUGGGCGCUAGCCUGAACCAGCCAAGUAGCGUGAAGGAUGACUGCCCUAUGGGUUGUAAACUUCUUUUAUAAGGGAAUAAAGUGCAGCACGUGUACUGCUUUGCAUGUACCUUAUGAAUAAGGAUCGGCUAACUCCGUGCCAGCAGCCGCGGUAAUACGGAGGAUCCGAGCGUUAUCCGGAUUUAUUGGGUUUAAAGGGAGCGUAGGCGGGUUGUUAAGUCAGUUGUGAAAGUUUGCGGCUCAACCGUAAAAGUGCAUUUGAUACUGGCAGCCUUGAGUACAGUAGAGGUAGGCGGAAUUCGUGGUGUAGCGGUGAAAUGCUUAGAUAUCACGAAGAACUCCGAUUGCGAAGGCAGCCUGCUGGACUGCAACUGACGCUGAUGCUCGAAAGUGUGGGUAUCAAACAGGAUUAGAUACCCCAGUAGUC
RNAcentral lists this ribosomal RNA (460 nucleotides) under uncultured bacterium. RNAcentral describes it as "partial 16S ribosomal RNA". It matches the Rfam family "Bacterial small subunit ribosomal RNA", at positions 338 to 795 of the family's 1533-position model. The record is from RNAcentral.